Molecule: ribosomal RNA, 949 nt
Filed under: uncultured bacterium
Lineage: Bacteria
Description: bacterial SSU rRNA
Rfam family: Bacterial small subunit ribosomal RNA
Source: RNAcentral
CGAGCGUUUCGGAUUUAUUGGGUAAGGGUGCGUAGCUGGGAAAUAAGUCAGCGGUGAAAGUUCAGGGCUUAACUUUGAAAUUGCCGUUGAAACUGUUUUUCUUGAGUAUAUUGGAAGUAGGCGGAAUGUGUAGUGUAGCGGUGAAAUGCAUAGAUAUUACACAGAACCCCGAUUGCGAAGGCAGCUUACUAUACUAUUACUGACGCUGAUGCACGAAAGCGUGGGGAUCAAACAGGAUUAGAUACCCUGGUAGUCCACGCUGUAAACGAUGAUAACUCGCUGUUUGCGAUAUACCGCAAGUGGCCAAGCGAAAGCGUUAAGUUAUCCACCUGGGGAGUACGCCGGCAACGGUGAAACUCAAAGGAAUUGACGGGGGCCCGCACAAGCGGAGGAACAUGUGGUUUAAUUCGAUGAUACGCGAGGAACCUUACCCGGGCUUGAAAUGCAUCUGACGUACUGUGAAAGCAGUAUUCUAGCAAUAGCAGAUGUGUAGGUGCUGCAUGGUUGUCGUCAGCUCGUGCCGUGAGGUGUCGGCUUAAGUGCCAUAACGAGCGCAACCCUUAUCAAUAGUUACCAUCAGGUCAAGCUGGGGACUCUAUUGAGACUGCCACCGUAAGGUGUGAGGAAGGUGGGGAUGACGUCAAAUCAGCACGGCCCUUACGUCCGGGGCGACACACGUGUUACAAUGGGGGGUACAGAGGGCCGCUACCUGGCAACAGGAUGCGAAUCUCAUAAAGCCCCUCUCAGUUCGGAUCGGAGUCUGCAACUCGACUCCGUGAAGCUGGAUUCGCUAGUAAUCGCGCAUCAGCCAUGGCGCGGUGAAUACGUUCCCGGGCCUUGUACACACCGCCCGUCAAGCCAUGGAAGCCGGGGGUACCUGAAGUACGUAACCGCAAGGAGCGUCCUAGGGUAAAACUGGUAACUGGGGCUAAGUCGUAACAAGGUAUCC